GGACGGGUGAGUAACACUUAGGAAUCUACCUAGUAGUGGGGGAUAGCUCGGGGAAACUCGAAUUAAUACCGCAUACGUCCUACGGGAGAAAGGGGGCAGUUUACUGCUCUCGCUAUUAGAUGAGCCUAAGUCGGAUUAGCUAGUUGGUGGGGUAAAGGCCUACCAAGGCGACGAUCUGUAGCUGGUCUGAGAGGAUGAUCAGCCACACCGGGACUGAGACACGGCCCGGACUCCUACGGGAGGCAGCAGUGGGGAAUAUUGGACAAUGGGGGAAACCCUGAUCCAGCCAUGCCGCGUGUGUGAAGAAGGCCUUUUGGUUGUAAAGCACUUUAAGCAGUGAAGAAGACCUAACGGUUAAUACCCGUUAGCGAUGACAUUAGCUGCAGAAUAAGCACCGGCUAACUCUGUGCCAGCAGCCGCGGUAAUACAGAGGGUGCAAGCGUUAAUCGGAAUUACUGGGCGUAAAGCGAGCGUAGGUGGCUUGAUAAGUCAGAUGUGAAAUCCCCGGGCUUAACCUGGGAACUGCAUCUGAUACUGUUAAGCUAGAGUAGGUGAGAGGGAAGUAGAAUUCCAGGUGUAGCGGUGAAAUGCGUAGAGAUCUGGAGGAAUACCGAUGGCGAAGGCAGCUUCCUGGCAUCAUACUGACACUGAGGCUCGAAAGCGUGGGUAGCAAACAGGAUUAGAUACCCUGGUAGUCCACGCCGUAAACGAUGUCUACUAGUCGUUGGGUCCCUUGAGGACUUAGUGACGCAGCUAACGCAAUAAGUAGACCGCCUGGGGAGUACGGCCGCAAGGUUAAAACUCAAAUGAAUUGACGGGGGCCCGCACAAGCGGUGGAGCAUGUGGUUUAAUUCGAUGCAACGCGAAGAACCUUACCUGGUCUUGACAUACACAGAAUCUUGUAGAGAUACGAGAGUGCCUUCGGGAAAUUGUGAU
This 936-nucleotide ribosomal RNA is filed under the name Psychrobacter sp. RNAcentral's name for it is "bacterial SSU rRNA". It matches the Rfam family "Bacterial small subunit ribosomal RNA", at positions 100 to 1033 of the family's 1533-position model. Lineage: Bacteria; Pseudomonadati; Pseudomonadota; Gammaproteobacteria; Moraxellales; Moraxellaceae. The record is from RNAcentral.